Long non-coding RNA from Oncorhynchus mykiss (rainbow trout), 3053 nucleotides. The record is from Ensembl. Lineage: Eukaryota; Metazoa; Chordata; Actinopteri; Salmoniformes; Salmonidae.
AUGAGCUGCACUCCUGCCAGCCGGUUACCCCCUCCCCACAGUGUGAAUGUGGUGACUGCCCCAGAGGAUUCAGCAGAUCCAAAACAGAGGAGAGGGAGCAGAGUCUACCAGAUCUUCCCUUGCCCCCUGACUCCCAUGGCCAUAGAGUCAGAAUCUGAGUCUUUUGCCGAGGAUCCUAUUCACUGCAGGGGGCGGCUGCCCUCCAUCGUGGUGCAGACUGACGAGGCAAGCGAGAUCAGGGAGCUGCUCUGCUCCCAGGGAGCAGACAAGGAGAAGGAGGAGGACCCCUACAACAAGCAGAGCUCCCAGACAGAGAGCUGCAUCAGUGGGGACAACCAAGAGGAUAUGGUGGUGCCGCAGGGGAGAAGAAAGAGUUCUAUUGCAGCUCAAUCCCUCAGUGUCGCCCGUUUGACUCCUCCCCACUCGACCCUCCACGAGACUGCCCCACCCAAGCCUGAGGAGAUGAGCCAAUAGGAGCAGAGCACAAACAGUGACAUAUCUACAGAACUCUUUCUGACAUCAUCAUCAUCAGAACUCUCUCUGGACAAACACCCUGUGGAUUUUUACCUCUCUAAUAUGUAACCAAAAAUGACAUGUUUCAAGAUGACUGGAAUGUGUUUUUAUCAUUUAAUGUGUUUAAUAAUUGUUUACUGUUAAAAUAAAGAUUUAAAAUGCCAUAUAUUAUCGAAACGGUAGUUCCUCUCCCUUUUGGGAAACUAGAAAGAAUGUGUACAUACAACAGAAAUACCCGUAGUUUUCAGACUGUAUUCAAGACACAGCUCUGUUGCUAUGUGACAAUAUGGAAACAAGCAAGUGGCUGGGGUUGGAAUGGCAUCCUAUUCCCUAUAUAGUGCACAACUUUUGACCAGAGCCCUAUGGGUCCCUGUCAAAAGGAAUGCACUAUGUAGGGAAUAGGGUGCCAUUUGAGACACAUCCUAGGUCUGAGAGAUACUAAUAUAGAGUGCAAUGGGCUGUUCAGGGUGAAUAUUUUCCAAUCUGUCCCACACCUCUCCCCGCGGCAAAUACUAUUGUUCAGUUAAAGACUAUCAACAUAGAUUUACAAACCAGCAGCUUGCGACUCUGGCGUCUACCCAGCAAAGCUGUUGUUAUGACUGUUACUGUAGCAAUGGUGUUCUCUAUUGCCGUCAUGGAACAAGCAGGUCACAGCGUUAUUCGCUACCUAAAACAAAUAGGCUCCAUACGAACACUAAAGUUGAGGUACAAAGUAUUUUUACACAAUGGCUGUGGUAUGGAUGUGAUACAAUUGCUAUUUUUGUGGUCCAAAUGAGUUUGUCUGCACGACCAUUGUGCUGUCUCCGCAACAGUUGUGUAACACUUUUGUCAAAUUGGUUGUACUUCAGUUUGUGCAAAAAGAUUUUGUCACAGUUGCCCCUGCAUCUCCCUGGUGAUAAUAUGGGAGACACGUGUUAGGAUUUUAUUGAGACGCAAAAACGCUGGACUGUAAAGGUAAAAUCGCAGAAACCACUUGUUUGGAGCAAUUAUUGAUUGAUUUUACGUAGUCAUAUUUUGACCUACUAUACUCUUUUGAUAGCUUACUAUAAGUAUGUUUUUUUGUGAGCACAUGCCAUUGUUUCGGACAGUCAAAUAAGGACGUGGCACAGAAAGGAAAACAAAUGAAUAAAGUCACGUAGCUCAUUAAUAUUGACCUCUUUGAUUAAUCACAAAAUGUUAUCUUGUAACUGUGGCACCAUAGAUGUGCUCCUAUGUCUUUCUCAUUGGGUGGAAAUUCCUUUAAGGGUUUUUGAACAUUUUGCAGGCCAGGCACCAUCAAACGGUAUGAGUGUGAGCAAUCGCAAAUGACUCUGCAUUGAUGUUUAAUAUUCCAUCCACAGUAUGAAUAAAGAACACCUAAUUGAAUACUGGUCUGGCACAGUCUUUCCCUUUGUGAGACAAGAGCUCCGGAACUCAAGAAAACACAGCAUUUCUAACUGUGUGGCUUUCUCCCAUCCAGAUCGUGGAGUAUUUGGAUGACAUCUGGAUCUUUAUUACACCCUCUCCUGCGUUUCUCAUGUCAUGUCGCUGUCAUAUGGAGAAUGACUGAGGAAAUAAAGACAUGUUACUUGGAAGAAAAAAAAGAGUAGUAGAGUAGUAGAGAGUUCAGGGUUAGAAAGUCACACACAAAGUCGAAUCCAAUAUCUUCCUUACCUGAUUUUAUAUAUUUACUACAUGCAGCAGCCAGUAGCAGGCAGGAAAAAAGCUUUUUGAUGUUUUGGUCAAAGCUUUCUUCAGUGUGUGCAUGACUAUGACAUGUUACCUCAAAGCCAUUUGACCUAAUAGAGCUGGUUAGCUGGUUCAGGUUUUUUCCAAACCUCCCACAAGGGUUGGGGUCAAUUCCAUGUCAAUUCAGGAAGUAAUCAGAUCUUCUAAUUCCAAUUGCUUCUCCAUGAGAUUUAAUUUAAAAAAAAUCUGAAUAUGAGUUUACUUCCUGAAUUGACUGAAUUGAAAUGGAACUGACCCCAACCCUGCAUCCCACUGACCUCAGUGAAAGUAAACUAGCUCAAGACUAUCUGAGGAGAAUCUUAUUCCGGACACAUGCUUUUUCAUCUCGUUAUUCCCAUGAAUUUUUCAGCGAAUUUCAUACGCAAUAAGAUAGGAAAUCAGAAAUUAACAAUAGAAUGGGAAAUGUAAAAACAAAAGUAUAAAAACAAUCUAAUAACAAAGAUAUGUACCUCAACAACAACAAGAGGUGCCUGUGUCAGUAACACUAUCGACAUAUUAGAUCCCUCAAAUAUAUAUUCCAGUAGUAUCACAGGGGAAUGUUUACCUGCCAACCUCUACAUUUCUAUCGCAGUAUUGUAAUGUCUACUUAGUCUAGAGGAAGUACACAAUUAACACACACAGGCAGAUGUUUACCAGAGCCUGGAGCUCUAUACUGAUGAGGAUGUUAGAGCUCAUCAGUUGGAGGAGGAAGUGUGUGUCCCAUUCUACUCAGCUGUGCAUCCUCAAAGUGUCAAAUUCCAGUUUAUCAGGAGGUUGUCGCAUAUAUGUGUUGAUAGAAAUCAUAAGGAAAAGAGUAGGGCUUAAACCAAGAC